AAUCAAUGCUGGCGGCGUGCCUCAGACAUGCAAGUCGAACGAUUAAAGCUCUCUUCGGAGAGUGCAUAGAGUGGCGCACGGGUGAGUAACACGUAAGUAAUCUACCUUCGAGUGGGGAAUAACAGCCGGAAACGACUGCUAAUGCCGCAUAAUGCAGCGGCAUCGCAAGAUGACAGUUGUUAAAGGAGCAAUUCGCUUGAAGAGGAGCUUGCGGCAGACUAGCUUGUUGGUAAGGUAACGGCUUACCAAGGCUACGAUCUGUAACCGGUCUAAGAGGACGGUCGGUCACACUGACACUGAAUAACGGGGUCAGACUCCUACGGGAGGCAGCAGUCGGGAAUUUUGGGCAAUGGGCGAAAGCCUGACGCAGCGACGCCGCGUGAGGGAUGACGG
This 393-nucleotide ribosomal RNA is filed under the name uncultured bacterium. RNAcentral describes it as "bacterial SSU rRNA". It matches the Rfam family "Bacterial small subunit ribosomal RNA", at positions 32 to 414 of the family's 1533-position model. The record is from RNAcentral.